Molecule: ribosomal RNA, 505 nt
Filed under: uncultured bacterium
Lineage: Bacteria
Description: partial 16S ribosomal RNA
Rfam family: Bacterial small subunit ribosomal RNA
Source: RNAcentral
GACGAACGCUGGCGGCGUGCCUAAUACAUGCAAGUAGAACGCACAGUUUAUACCGUAGCUUGCUACACCAUAGACUGUGAGUUGCGAACGGGUGAGUAGCGCGUAGGUAACCUGCCUGGUAGCGGGGGAUAACUAUUGGAAACGAUAGCUAAUACCGCAUAAUAUUAAUUAUUGCAUGAUAAUUAAUUGAAAGGUGCAAUUGCACCACUACCAGAUGGACCUGCGUUGUAUUAGCUAGUAGGUGAGGUAACGGCUCACCUAGGCGACGAUACAUAGCCGACCUGAGAGGGUGAUCGGCCACACUGGGACUGAGACACGGCCCAGACUCCUACGGGAGGCAGCAGUAGGGAAUCUUCGGCAAUGGACGAAAGUCUGACCGAGCAACGCCGCGUGAGUGAAGAAGGUUUUCGGAUCGUAAAGCUCUGUUGUAAGAGAAGAACGGGUGUGAGAGUGGAAAGUUCACACUGUGACGGUAUCUCACCAGAAAGGGACGGCUAACUACGUG